RNAcentral lists this long non-coding RNA (1243 nucleotides) under Calidris pygmaea (Spoon-billed sandpiper). Its description in RNAcentral is "lncRNA (ENSCPGG00000011836.1)". Lineage: Eukaryota; Metazoa; Chordata; Aves; Charadriiformes; Scolopacidae. The record is from RNAcentral.
AUAAGCUCUUCAGGAGGGAUAGGCAAGUAAGGAGAGGUGGGGGUGUGGCUCUGUAUGUUAGGGAGUGUUUUGAUUGUAUGGAAAUAGAUUGCAGCAAUGAUAAAGUUGAGUGUUUAUGGGUAAAGAUGAAGGGCAAGGCUAGCAAGGGAGAUCUGGUGCUGGGAGUCUGCUAUAGACCACCCAACCAGGAUGAGGAGGUAGACGAGAUAUUCUAUAAGCAGCUGGCUGAAGUCUCUCGAUCGCCAGCCCUUGUUCUGGUUGGGGACUUCAACCUACCGGACAUCUGCUGGAAACACAACACAGCAGAGAGCAGGCAGGCUAGGAGGUUCCUUGAGUGUAUGGAAGAUAACUUCCUGACACAACUGGUAGGUGAGCCAACCAGGGGAGGUGCCUCACUAGACCUACUGCUCACAAAUAGAGAGGGACUAGUGGGAGAUGUGGUGGUCGGAGGCCGUCUUGGGCUUAGCGACCAUGAAAUGGUCAAGUUUUCAAUUAUUAGAGAGGUAAGGAAGGGGGUUAGCAAAACCUCAACCUUGGACUUCCGGUGGGCGGACUUUAGCCUUUUCAGAUCACUGGUUGGAAAAGUCCCAUGGGAGGAAGCCCUGAAGGGCAAAGAUGUUCAGGAAGGCUGGGUGUUUUUCAAGGAGGAAGUCUUAAAAGCCCAGGUGCAGGCCAUCCCUAUACGCUGUAAAGCGAGCCAUCGGGGGAAAAGGCCAGCCUGGCUGAGCAAAGAGAUAGGGUCACAGCUUAGGGAAAAAAGGAGAAUUUAUGGCCUUUGGAAAAAGGGGCAGGCCACGCAGGAAGAUUACAAAGGUAUACCAAAGCUAUGUAGGGAAAAGAUUAGUAAGGCCAAAGCCCAACUAGAACUCAACCUGGCCUUGGAUGUUAAAAACAAUAAAAAGAAUUUCUAUAAAUAUAUUAAUAGCAAAAAGAGGACUCGGGAGAACCUCCAUCCUCUACUGGAUAAGGGAGGUAACAUAGUGACAAAGGAUGAGGAGAAGGCUGAAGUCCUGAAUGCCUUCUUUGCCUCAGUCUUUAGUAGUANAAAUAUCCAGACCCCUGAACUAGCAGGCAGGGGCGGGGAGCAGAGUGAAGCCCCUGUAAUUCAAAGGGAGGUGGUGAGGGACCUGCUCCAACACCUAGAUGCAAACAAGUCUAUGGGACCAGAUGAGAUCCACCCGAGGGUACUGAGGGAGCUGGCAGAAGUGCUUGCGGAGCCACUCUCCAUCAUUUACCAGCAGUC